UUGGAGGGCAAGUCUGGUGCCAGCAGCCGCGGUAAUUCCAGCUCCAAUAGCGUAUAUUAAAGUUGUUGCAGUUAAAAAGCUCGUGGUUGAAUUUCGGGAUCAAUACGUCGGUCGUGCUUUCGGGUACGUACUGGCGUCAUUGGUUUCUCCUUUCUGACGAACCAUGAUGUCAUUAAUUUGGUGUUAUGGGGAGUUAGGACUGUUACUUUGAAAAAAUUAGAGUGUUUAAAGCAGGCAUUAGCUUGAAUACAUUAGCAUGGAAUAAUGAAAUAGGACGUUCGAUCCUAUUUUGUUGGUUUCUAGGAUCAACGUAAUGAUUAAUAGGGAUAGUUGGGGGCAUUAGUAUUCAAUUGUCAGAGGUGAAAUUCUUGGAUUUAUUGAAGACUAACUGCUGCGAAAGCAUUUGCCAAGGAUGUUUUCAUUAAUCAAGAACGAAAGUUAGGGGAUCGAAGACGAUCAGAUACCGUCGUAGUCUUAACCAUAAACUAUGCCGACUAGGGAUCGGAUGAUGUUAAUUUUUUAAUGACUCAUUCGGCGCCUUACGGGAAAC
RNAcentral lists this ribosomal RNA (550 nucleotides) under uncultured Glomeromycotina. RNAcentral describes it as "SSU rRNA". It matches the Rfam family "Eukaryotic small subunit ribosomal RNA", at positions 548 to 1098 of the family's 1831-position model. Lineage: Eukaryota; Fungi; Glomeromycota. The record is from RNAcentral.